Molecule: ribosomal RNA, 468 nt
Filed under: uncultured bacterium
Lineage: Bacteria
Description: partial 16S ribosomal RNA
Rfam family: Bacterial small subunit ribosomal RNA
Source: RNAcentral
GACGAACGCUGGCGGCGUGCUUAACACAUGCAAGUCGAACGGAAAGGCCCUGCGUUUGUGGGGUGCUCGAGUGGCGAACGGGUGAGUAACACGUGAGUAACCUGCCCUUGACUUUGGGAUAACUUCAGGAAACUGGGGCUAAUACCGGAUAGGAGCUCCUGCUGCAUGGGGGGGGUUGGAGAGUUUCGGCGGUUGGGGAUGGACUGGCGGCUUAUCAGCUGGUUGGUGGGGUAGUGGCUUACAACGGCUUUGACGGCUAGCCGGCAUGAGAGGGUGACCGGCGACAUUGGGACUGAGAUACGGACCAGACGCCUACGGGAGGCAGCAGUGGGGAAUAUUGCACAAUGGGCGGAAGCCUGAUGCAGCAACGCCGCGUGCGGGAUGACGGCUUUCGGGUUGUAAACCGCUUUCGCCUGUGACGAAGCGUGAGUGACGGUAACGGGUAAAGAAGCACCGGCUAACUACGUG